GGCCAGCCGCACCCACGCAGCGCUGCUUCAAAAGUUACAGACAAGCAGGCGGAGUGAGCAGCGCUUGCCCGGCUGCCCACAGCCGAGAAGAGGGAAGGAAACUCCCGCGGCAGGGGAUUGGCUUCUCUGAGGUGAGGACUGUGCGUUCCUAGCUCAAGCCCGGAAACCUCCUUCCUUGUGAUCUUCGGAGGGCGGCAGGGAGCGUCGCUCAUCCUUUCUGAGCCCCCACCAGGAGGAGCCAGCUGUGUGUGGGCCCACGCUGCGGGUGUCCCCUUCCAGGCAGGACCCCCAGAGGUGGUCAGGCUUCAGGAUGGAUGAUGAACUUCCAAAAAGGAAAAAGAUGGAAAAUCAUCGAAUUACC
Long non-coding RNA from Phyllostomus discolor (pale spear-nosed bat), 361 nucleotides. RefSeq lists it as uncharacterized. The transcript is spliced from 2 exons. Lineage: Eukaryota; Metazoa; Chordata; Mammalia; Chiroptera; Phyllostomidae. The record is from RefSeq and is a predicted model, not a curated record.